This 559-nucleotide long non-coding RNA is filed under the name Felis catus (domestic cat). RNAcentral describes it as "lncRNA (ENSFCAG00000050433.1)". The record is from RNAcentral. Lineage: Eukaryota; Metazoa; Chordata; Mammalia; Carnivora; Felidae.
ACAAGACUUUAUUAUUUUGCUGAAGAAAUGGAUAUGUUCAGCCUGCUAUUUGGGGCAGGACUUCAAGGACUGGAAUGAAAGACACAACCCUUUUCGGAUAUGGAAUCCUUGGAUGAAAUGUGCUUUGAACAAAAUUCUUUCUCCGUUUAGUUUGACACUACUCAGCCUUGUAAUAGGCCAAGCCAUGGAUUCCUUUGCAACCUGCCUGUGAAAAAGACAUCACCUGGUUACUUCAGAGCUCUGCUCCCUUCCUGUUAAGGAUGCAGAGUUGACUCUUGGCACAACGAAGCUUAGAGAAACCUGGAAUGUUUUAUGGAUGCUGUCUGGCAGUUUUGAUUCAGAACUAGAGGAAGACCAACAGCAAAACAAGCUGGUCCCAGGUCAGCUGAAAAAAGAGCUCACCAGUAAGAUGGACUCCAGAAGAGAUAAGCACCAUGUAGGAGAAUUUUCCAGGUUUUGAUUACCUGCCACUCUGGCAGCUACCCUUUUUUCUAUUAACUCCACAACGUGUGACUCGGAAGAGAAAAAUAUCUUGUGUGGGCUCACCUACCGAAUCAGU